GUGGGGAAUAUUGGGCAAUGGGGGAAACCCUGACCCAGCAACGCCGCGUGAAGGAAGAAGGUUUUCGGAUCGUAAACUUCUAUCCUUGGUGAAAAUAGUGAUGGUAGCCAAGAAGGAAGCCCCGGCUAACUACGUGCCAGCAGCCGCGGUAAUACGUAGGGGGCAAGCGUUGUCCGGAAUGAUUGGGCGUAAAGGGCGCGUAGGCGGCCUGGUAAGUUUGAAGUGAAAGUCCUUCUUUUAAGGAGGGAACUGCUUUGAAAACUGUCGGGCUUGAGUGCAGGAGAGGUAAGCGGAAUUCCCGGUGUAGCGGUGAAAUGCGUAGAGAUCGGGAGGAACACCAGUGGCGAAGGCGGCUUACUGGACUGUUACUGACGCUGAGGCGCGAAAGUGUGGGGAGCAAACAGGAUUAGAAACCCGAGUAGUCC
This 425-nucleotide ribosomal RNA is filed under the name uncultured bacterium. Its description in RNAcentral is "bacterial SSU rRNA". It matches the Rfam family "Bacterial small subunit ribosomal RNA", at positions 354 to 796 of the family's 1533-position model. The record is from RNAcentral.